UAUGGCAGAUUAGUGCAAUGAAUUUAAGUUUCAUAAAUAAAGAUUUUUAAUNNNCUUUUAUUAAAA
Molecule: transfer RNA, 66 nt
Filed under: Dorylus laevigatus
Lineage: Eukaryota; Metazoa; Arthropoda; Insecta; Hymenoptera; Formicidae
Description: tRNA-Leu
Source: RNAcentral